RNAcentral lists this ribosomal RNA (495 nucleotides) under uncultured bacterium. Its description in RNAcentral is "partial 16S ribosomal RNA". It matches the Rfam family "Bacterial small subunit ribosomal RNA", at positions 28 to 507 of the family's 1533-position model. The record is from RNAcentral.
GACGAACGCUGGCGGCGUGCCUAAUACAUGCAAGUAGAACGCUGAAGGAGGAGCUUGCUUCUCCGGAUGAGUUGCGAACGGGUGAGUAACGCGUAGGUAACCUGCCUGGUAGCCGGGGAUAACUAUUGGAAACGAUAGCUAAUACCGCAUAAGAGUAGAUGUUGCAUGACAUUUGCUUAAAAGGUGCAAUUGCAUCACUACCAGAUGGACCUGCGUUGUAUUAGCUAGUUGGUGGGGUAACGGCUUACCAAGGCGACGAUACAUAGCCGACCUGAGAGGGUGAUCGGCCACACUGGGACUGAGACACGGCCCAGACUCCUACGGGAGGCAGCAGUAGGGAAUCUUCGGCAAUGGACGGAAGUCUGACCGAGCAACGCCGCGUGAGUGAAGAAGGUUUUCGGAUCGUAAAGCUCUGUUGUAAGAGAAGAACGAGUGUGAGAGUGGAAAGUUCACACUGUGACGGUAUCUUACCAGAAAGGGACGGCUAACUACGUG